UACGGAGGGUGCAAGCGUUGCUCGGAAUUAUUGGGCGUAAAGCGCGCGCAGGCGGUCCUUUAAGUCUGAUGUGAAAGCCCACGGCUCAACCGUGGAGGGUCAUUGGAAACUGGGGGACUUGAGUGCAGGAGAGAAGAGUGGAAUUCCACGUGUAGCGGUGAAAUGCGUAGAGAUGUGGAGGAACACCAGUGGCGAAGGCGGCAUCCUGGACCGGUAUUGACGCUGAGGAGCGAAAGCCAGGGGAGCAAACGGG
RNAcentral lists this ribosomal RNA (253 nucleotides) under uncultured bacterium. RNAcentral's name for it is "partial 16S ribosomal RNA". It matches the Rfam family "Bacterial small subunit ribosomal RNA", at positions 524 to 776 of the family's 1533-position model. The record is from RNAcentral.